RNAcentral lists this ribosomal RNA (253 nucleotides) under uncultured bacterium. RNAcentral describes it as "partial 16S ribosomal RNA". It matches the Rfam family "Bacterial small subunit ribosomal RNA", at positions 524 to 776 of the family's 1533-position model. The record is from RNAcentral.
UACGUAGGUGGCAAGCGUUGUCCGGAUUUACUGGGCGUAAAGAGCGCGCAGGCGGUCGUAUAAGUCGAAUGUGAAAGCCCCCGGCUCAACUGGGGAGGGUCACGCGAUACUGCUCGACUUGAAGGCAGGAGAGGGAAGCGGAAUUCCCGGUGUAGUGGUGAAAUGCGUAGAUAUCGGGAGGAACACCAGUGGCGAAGGCGGCUUCCUGGCCUGUUCUUGACGCUGAGGCGCGAAAGCUAGGGUAGCAAACGGG